Molecule: ribosomal RNA, 301 nt
Filed under: uncultured bacterium
Lineage: Bacteria
Description: partial 16S ribosomal RNA
Rfam family: Bacterial small subunit ribosomal RNA
Source: RNAcentral
CAGUCGCCGCGGUAAUACGUAGGGUGCGAGCGUUAAUCGGAAUUACUGGGCGUAAAGCGUGCGCAGGCGGUUGUGUAAGACAGGUGUGAAAUCCCCGGGCUUAACCUGGGAACUGCGCUUGUGACUGCACAGCUAGAGUAUGGCAGAGGGGGGUGGAAUUCCACGUGUAGCAGUGAAAUGCGUAGAGAUGUGGAGGAACACCGAUGGCGAAGGCAGCCCCCUGGGCCAAUACUGGCGCUCAUGCACGAAAGCGUGGGGAGCAAACAGGACUAGAUACCCCUGUAGUCCCUGUCUCUUAUAC